CGUUGACGAAACACAACAGGUGACACAUUAAAAUCAAAAAGAUGAAAAAAUUCGUUGAACCGCAUGCAGACUAUUCGAAAAGGUGUGUCCUGGAAGCUGUUCUUUGCACAUCUGAUUUCUUCAUUUUUUUCGUUACUACAAGCAGAAGCAGAAUAGUUUUUCUCUAAAAUGUAAUGAAGGCAGCCCACCCGAAAGCAAAACAGCAAGCGUACUUAUAAACAAGUACACUCUUAUGAAGUAAAGAGGAUGUAAUGAAAACUCGUGAAGAUAAUCAAAAGUCCGGAAAACGACGUAGGAAAUUAUACCGUGCCGCAUCGCCCCUUAUGGAACAUGAUGUGAUUUUGAAAUACUUCAUUUUUGACUGCUGCGUUGAUCUUUCAGUGUUAGAUUGUUCCUCAAUCGAAAGGCGUGCUACUAUCGACACAGAAAUCAGAACAACUAAAAAAUGAUGGUUCGAAAAUAAGCUUAUAUUAUUC
Malaya genurostris is the source of this 476-nucleotide long non-coding RNA. RefSeq lists it as uncharacterized. The record is from RefSeq and is a predicted model, not a curated record. The transcript is spliced from 3 exons. NCBI's taxonomy places the organism in Eukaryota, Metazoa, Arthropoda, Insecta, Diptera, Culicidae.